RNAcentral lists this long non-coding RNA (335 nucleotides) under Mytilus galloprovincialis (Mediterranean mussel). Lineage: Eukaryota; Metazoa; Mollusca; Bivalvia; Mytilida; Mytilidae. The record is from RNAcentral.
UGAAUUGAGAUCAGUUUUGGAAAAAGGAAAGGGGAUGAGAAAAAAAAUGGGGGGGGGGUUAAAUUUUUCUCAUUUCAGAUUUCAUAAAUAAAAAGAAAAUUUCUUCAAACAUUUUUUUGAGAGGAUUAAUAUUCAACAGCAUAGUGAAUUGCUCAAAGGAAAAAAAAGUAUUUUAAGUUCAUUAGACCACAUUCAUUCUGUGUCAGAAACCUAUGCUGUGUCAACUAUUUCAUCACAAUCCAAAUUUAGAGCUGAAUCCAGCUUGAAUGUUGUGUCCAUACUUGCCCCAACCAUUCAGGGUUCAACCUCUGCGGUCAUAUAAAGCUGCGCCCUGC